CGGAUUGCAGGCUGCAACCCGCCUGUAUGAAGUUGGAAUCGCUAGUAAUCGCGGAUCAGCAUGCCGCGGUGAAUACGUUCCCGGGCCUUGUACACACCGCCCGUCACACCAUGAGAGUCGGGAACACCCGAAGUCCGUAGCCUAACCGCAAGGGGGCGCGGCCGAAGGUGGAUUCGAUAAUUGGGGUGAAGUCGUAACAAGGUAAC
RNAcentral lists this ribosomal RNA (206 nucleotides) under uncultured bacterium. RNAcentral's name for it is "partial 16S ribosomal RNA". It matches the Rfam family "Bacterial small subunit ribosomal RNA", at positions 1294 to 1500 of the family's 1533-position model. The record is from RNAcentral.